RNAcentral lists this ribosomal RNA (428 nucleotides) under Bacillota bacterium. Its description in RNAcentral is "Firmicutes bacterium partial 16S ribosomal RNA". It matches the Rfam family "Bacterial small subunit ribosomal RNA", at positions 355 to 776 of the family's 1533-position model. Lineage: Bacteria; Bacillati; Bacillota. The record is from RNAcentral.
UGGGGAAUUUUGGACAAUGGGGGCAACCCUGAUCCAGCAAUGCCGCGUGUGUGAAGAAGGCCUUCGGGUUGUAAAGCACUUUUGUCCGGGAAGAAAUCGCACCUGAUAAUACCGGGUGUGGAUGACGGUACCGGAAGAAUAAGGACCGGCUAACUACGUGCCAGCAGCCGCGGUAAUACGUAGGGUCCAAGCGUUAAUCGGAAUUACUGGGCGUAAAGCGUGCGCAGGCGGUUGUGCAAGACCGAUGUGAAAUCCCGGGCUUAACCUGGGAAUUGCAUUGGUGACUGCACGGCUAGAGUGUGUCAGAGGGGGGUAGAAUUCCACGUGUAGCAGUGAAAUGCGUAGAGAUGGGGAGGAAUACCGAUGGCGAAGGCAGCCCCCUGGGAUAACACUGACGCUCAUGCACGAAAGCGUGGGGAGCAAACAGG